RNAcentral lists this ribosomal RNA (253 nucleotides) under uncultured bacterium. RNAcentral's name for it is "partial 16S ribosomal RNA". It matches the Rfam family "Bacterial small subunit ribosomal RNA", at positions 524 to 776 of the family's 1533-position model. The record is from RNAcentral.
AACGUAGGAGACAAACGUUAUCCGGAGUUACUGGGCGUAAAGGGCGUGUAGGCGGUUAGUUAAGUCUGGCGUGAAAGCUCUCGGCUAAACCGGGAGAGGUCGUUGGAUACUGGCUGACUAGAGGACGGUAGAGGCGUGUGGAAUUCCGGGUGUAGUGGUGAAAUGCGUAGAGAUCCGGAGGAACACCAGUGGCGAUGGCGACACGCUGGGCCGUACCUGACGCUAAAGCGCGACAGCAUGGGGAGCAAACGGG